GCCGUGGUAGCUCAGUUGGUGAGAGCGUCGGAUUCAUAACCCGGAGGUCGGCGGUUCGAUUCCGCCCCACGGUA
This 74-nucleotide transfer RNA is filed under the name Balneolaceae bacterium. RNAcentral describes it as "tRNA-Met". It matches the Rfam family "tRNA". From Rfam's summary of the family: Transfer RNA (tRNA) molecules are approximately 80 nucleotides in length. Their secondary structure includes four short double-helical elements and three loops (D, anti-codon, and T loops). Lineage: Bacteria; Pseudomonadati; Balneolota; Balneolia; Balneolales; Balneolaceae. The record is from RNAcentral. RNAcentral also lists the same sequence under 1 other name.